CUAACGUAAAGAAACCUGCCUCAUAGACUGGGACAACUAUUGGAAACGAUAGCUAAUACCGGAUAACAGCAUUAACUGCAUGGUUGAUGUUUGAAAGUUGGUUUUGCUAACACUAUGAGAUGGCUUUGCGGUGCAUUAGCUAGUUGGUGGGGUAAAGGCCUACCAAGGCGACGAUGCAUAGCCGACCUGAGAGGGUGAUCGGCCACACUGGGACUGAGACACGGCCCAA
RNAcentral lists this ribosomal RNA (229 nucleotides) under uncultured bacterium. Its description in RNAcentral is "partial 16S ribosomal RNA". It matches the Rfam family "Bacterial small subunit ribosomal RNA", at positions 112 to 334 of the family's 1533-position model. The record is from RNAcentral.